This 359-nucleotide unclassified non-coding RNA is filed under the name fungal sp. Its description in RNAcentral is "partial internal transcribed spacer region". The stretch from base 1 to 46 matches the Rfam family "Eukaryotic small subunit ribosomal RNA", at positions 1786 to 1831 of the family's 1831-position model. The record is from RNAcentral. Lineage: Eukaryota; Fungi.
AAGUCGUAACAAGGUUUCCGUAGGUGAACCUGCGGAAGGAUCAUUAACACGUAUCCAACGUUAAACAACCCUGUGAACCUCCUGCAGCCCCAUGAAAUCGGUAAAUCAUUGUUGACCAGCUUUUGAGUCAGGGACCUCUGCCGAAACGGCUGUUCAGUACCGAGCGCAGUGUAAGCGACCUGGCAUCCCUAAGCGAUCAGUGUCUGAAAGUGUCAUUGAUUGUGUAAGGAUGGCGCAGUAAACGAUUGCUAGAGGCCCACGGCCGGCAACCGGGUCCCCUUUAUCACCCCACUGGGCAGCCGAUAAUACGGACGCCGUAAAAAACUGAACAACUGUUAACAAUGGAUAUCUUGGUUCUC